UAGAUCUNCAAGUCAGCGUAGGACAUACCCGCUGAACUCUCAUGCAUAUCAAUAAGCGGAGGAAA
This 65-nucleotide ribosomal RNA is filed under the name uncultured fungus. Its description in RNAcentral is "partial 28S ribosomal RNA". The record is from RNAcentral. Lineage: Eukaryota; Fungi.